UGAGCAACCUGCCCUUGACUCUGGAAUAACAGCUGGAAACAGCUGCUAAUACCGGAUAUGACCUCUGACGACAUCGUCUGGAGGUGGAAAGCUCCGGCGGUCAAGGAUGGGCUCGCGGCCUAUCAGCUUGUUGGUGAGGUAACGGCUCACCAAGGCGAUGACGGGUAGCCGGCCUGAGAGGGUGACCGGCCACACUGGGACUGAGACACGGCCCAGACCUCUACGGGAGG
This 230-nucleotide ribosomal RNA is filed under the name uncultured bacterium. RNAcentral describes it as "partial 16S ribosomal RNA". It matches the Rfam family "Bacterial small subunit ribosomal RNA", at positions 118 to 347 of the family's 1533-position model. The record is from RNAcentral.